GAACUCCCCCCUCCAUGGCACUCCCCCUGGUCGCCGGCCUCCUCUCCCCUCCUUUAUAUACAGGGGCAGGGGGCACCCCAAAGGCACAACAUUGUUCUAGCCAUGUGUGGUGCCCCCCCCCCUCUACCGUUUGCUCCUCCAAUAGUAUCACCAUAGUGCUUAGGCGAAGCCCUGCAUGGAUCACAUCAUCAACACUUUCAUCACGCCGCCGUGCUGACGAAACUUUCCCUCGACCCUCUGCUGGAUCAAGAGUUCGAGGGACGUCAUCGAGUUGAAUGUGUGUUGAACUCGAAGGUGUCGUACAUUCGGUGCUAUAUCAGUUGGAUCGUGAAGACAUUCAACUACAUGAACCGCGUUAACAUAACGCUUCCGCUUUUGGUUUACGAGGGUACGUGGACACACUCUCCCCCUCUCGUUGCUAUGCAUCUCCUAGAUAUGUCUUGCCUAAUCGUAGGAAUUUUUUUGAAAUUGCAUGCUACGUUCCCCAACAAAAAAUAUGCAGUGUUGAGAUCGCCAUCUCUGAGCCAGGGAUACGGGGCCGCUGUCGUAGGCAGAUCUCCUCCUGGUGGAGAGCCUCACAUGGCUAACGUACCACUGCUCUUUCUUCCUCAGUUGUCCCUCGACACACCGACCGACACCUUAGCUUGUCCAGCCGAUCUUCUGCAAUUGUCUGACCUGAUGAGUUAAGCAACCAAACUCGCGGGGCCCCAAAGGUUCCAGCUUCGCCUUCAAAUGAUUCAGUGAAUCCGCUAUACCUUGGAGUCUUGGUCCUCUAUUUGCCUCCUGCCACGCAGCAGCAACAACGCGAUCAUAAUCCACAUGCAAUGACCACAUGUUCUCAAAUAUGAAAUGUUUCUUGGCUCGUGACGUGUUCAUAAGAUUUUCCUUUAUCUCCACUGCAAAAAAGCAAUGAUCAGAUUCUACGGAAGGUAGGUGUCUGAUUCUGAUGUAUUGAAAGUGUUGCCAGAACUCUUCACUAGCAAAAGAUCUAUCGAGCCUCGCCUUAACAUUCGCGUCACCUAACUGCCGAUUAUCUCAGGUGUACGUUGUGCCUGACCACCCCAAAUCUUGGAGGGCCACUUCAUCGGUGACUUCUCUGAAAGCUCUCAUUUGUCUCUCUAGCCUAGCUGUCCGACUGAAGUAUUCAUUAGCAUAGAGAGUCUCGUUAAAGUCACCCAUACAAAUCCAAGCCGCAUGCGACAUGGCAUAAAAGUGCGCAGAAAACGCCAACUAUGAUGUCUAUCUUCAGCUCGAGGCGCUCCAUAGAAACUAGUGAACCUCCACUCAAAAGAGUUUUGGUCCUUAUAUUUAACCAUUGCAUCAAUAUGUCCAGGACUAAGAUUCUUUAGAUCGACAAUAACAUCAUGUGUCUAGAAAAGCCCAAUACCACAACUUAGGCCUACACUAUUCACUGCAAAGCACCCGCCGAAGCCUAGAUGUCUAUGCAAGUCCUCAACUCUCUUCCCUUUUAUUUUUGUUUCCGUGACGAAGAGAAGAGUGGGUCCUUGUAGUUCACAAUGAUGCGAAGCUCUCGAACCACCUCGGGGUUCCCAAGCCCCCAGCAGAUCCAUGAGAGGCAACUCAUUGGGCCGGGUAGGACCGAUCACCUGUCUCCGCCGAAUUGUCAAGCGUAGGCUCUUCUUCUUUGGUUCAUGUACCAAGUCCUCAUCAACCUCCCUCCCAGAUGUGCUCGUGCUCGGGUCAUCUUCUUCAGAGUGUUGAGCUGCCGUCAGUAGCAACUGCUUUGGCUGAUACACCACUGUGGGUCCUUCUUUCAUCUUGAAUCGUGUCUUCUCUUUGUUCUUCAAGGGUGAGACCACCUCUCCCCCCCCCCUCCCCGUUUGGUUUGGAUCUAGUACUCGAUUUCUUUGUUCCUUGUUUGCUGCUCUGAUCAGACCUCUCUCCCCUGGAAGAAUUUUCGCUGCUUGCCGGGUAUCUGUUCUAAUCAGGAGCUCUCAGUUUCGGCCCAAAAGGAAGCUCGCCCUUCUCAUCUCUUGAUCCUGGAUUGCAGUAGUAGAGUUCUGAGUGGCCCAGCCGUCCACAGGAGAAACAGAAGUAUGGGGUCUGUUCAUACUGUAUGUUAUAGGAGUCCACCUUCUUCCUCCUUGCAAAAUCAAUGAGCACCCAUCUCCUGAGCGGUUUGUUGACAUCCACAGAAACUCUAGCUUGGAGAUAGCCUCCAUUGUUAUUAAACUUAACAAUCUGGACCGCCUUGUCGAUCAUCCGUGCUAUUAGGAGGCCCCAUGCAUCAUUUCUCAGGUUGUAGGGUAGGUUAAAAACCCUAGCCCACACCUGCAAACUAUCGAACUUGACCUCAUAUGGGCGCAUGCAAUCUUCAAACUCAGCCAGUAUGAUCGUGUUCUUGUUGAUGUGCCAAGGCGAUCCAGCCCAAACACUGUCACAAUCGUGUUGAGACUCGAAUUCGGCAACGUAACUAUUCAUUCCAACCGAACGGAAUUGCAGUCCUCUAGGGUUUUCCCAUGCCGGUCGAAGAGCAUUGCCAAUGGUAUGUAUAUGAUACUGGUUUCAUUAUAGGACCUUGCCCUCCAGCAACCACUUCACCGAAGCACCUUCAAGACGAUCAUCAAUCAUGAGGGGAGUCGCCUCUUCCUCGGAUAUGUCCAGCUUCCCCAGAGCUUCCUUCCUCUAGUUUCUCCCUUGCCGAUCUAGGGUUGCUCGAGCCGGAGUUCUCCUGCGCCUCUUCUGCCGCGGGUGGUGUUGCCAUCGCCGAUGAGACCCGACAUGCUAGUAAUCAUAGUAAACGCACACUAAAAUUCAAGGUUGCAUGCAUGGCCAACAGCUACCUAGGUCACGUACGUACACGACCGGACUGUGAACAAGAGAGAUCGGGGAAGCAAUGCACCUUAGGUGCUGCUGUAUUCCUCUUGGGGUAUAUAUGGUGUUAAAGUACAACAGAGAGAGCGCAUGGCGCAGUGGGGCGACGUGCUGCAGAUCGUGGUGAUCGUGCAUGUCGUGGGAGAGCUAUACAGCUGAGCUAUACAACUGGUGUCAGUUAACACCCCACCGCAGUUUGAGCGUCCGGCGGUCGGAUGCACAAGCUGGAAUGAAAGUCCUCGAACGCCGCCGUGGGCAGCCCUUUGGUGAGCACGUCGGCGAACUGUUGCUGCGUCGGCACAUGCAGGACACGAAGUUGCCCGAGCGCCACCUUCUCGCGGACAAAGUGGAUGUCCAACUCGAUGUGUUUGGUGCGGCAAUGGUGAACGGGGUUGGCCGCCAUGUACACGGACGAGAUGUUGUCGCAGAAGACGACACUGGCCUUGGUCAGGGGCACGUGGAGCUCGCCGAGAAGUUGACGAAGCCAGCAGCUUUCAGCGACGGCGUUGGCCACGGCGCGGUACUCUGCUUCGGCGCUCGAAUGGGACACCGUGGCCUGGCAUUUGGAGGACCAGGAGACCAAGGAGUCACCGAGGAAGAUGGCCUAGCCUGACAUGGAGCGGCGUGUGUCGGGGCACCCUGCCCAGUCGGCGUCGGAGUAGGUGACGAGCUCGAGAGGAGACGCGCGCUGUAGGUGUAGACCGUGCGUGGUGGUGCCGCGCAGAUAACAAAGUAUUCGUCUGACCAGAGCGAGGUGAGGAGCACGCGGGUCAUGCAUGACGAGGCAGCACUGCUGGACGGCAUAGGCGAUGUCGGGCUGCGUCAUGGUCAUGUACUGGAGUGCACCGACGAGACUGCGGUACUCUGAGGGAUCGGAGACGGGUGCACCAUCGGUGGCGGAGACCUUGGUGCGGGCGUCGACCAGAGUGGACACGGGCUUGCAGGCCUGCAUGUUGGCGCGGUCUAGAAGCUCCUCUGCGUACUUGUGUUAUGACAGGUAGAAGCCACGCUCGCUGCGGGUAACCGCGAUGCCGAGAAAAUAGUGCAGUGGCCCGAGGUCCUUCAUGGAGAACUCCGCGAAGAGCUGUCGUUGCAGGUGUUGGAGCAGUGUAGUCGACGAGGCGGCAAGGACGAUGUCGUCGACGUAGAGCAGGAGGUAUGCCAUGCCGCUGCUGUUGUGGAGGACGAACAGCGAGGGAUCGGCGCGUGAGCUGGAGAAGCCGAUCCGACGAGCGUACGCCGCGAAGCGGGCAAACCAGGCAUGGGGCGCCUGCUUGAGGCCGUACAAUGAUUUGUCGAGGAGACAAACGUGGUCGGGAUGGGCGUCGUCGACGAAGCCGGCCAGCUGUUGACAGAGGACCUGCUCGGAGAGGCGCCUGUGGAGGAAGGCGUUGUUCACGUCCAUCUGGUGAACCGGCCAGUCGCGAGAAGCAGCAACGGUGAGCACCACGCGAAUGGUGGCAGCCUUGACCACGGGGGAGAAGGUCUCGUCGAAGUCGACCCCUGGGCGUUGGGAGAAGCCGCGGACGACCCAGCGUGCUUUGUACCGCUCCAGGGUGCCGUCGGCUUUGAACUUGUGCCGGAACAGCCACUUGCCGGUGACGAUGUUGGCGCCGGCUGGUCAGGGAACGAGUCGCCAUGUCUGGUUGUCCAUCAGAGCCUGUACUCCACCUGCAUCGCAGACAGCCAACAUGGAUCGCGCAGAGCAGCCUGCACACUCUUUGGAACGGGGGAGAUGGAUAUGUCAGUGGUAGCGGAGAGGCUGGUGUUAAAUUUAGGGUUUGGGAGGAAUUUGCCGGCCUGCGCGCGGGUUUGCAUGGGGUGGCUGGGAGGGGGGCGCGCGUCGAUGGACGGUGGAUGCUGGCGGGGGAUCCGUGUCCUCGACAGGCGGUUCGACUGGCAGGAUGGCAGCGUCCGGGGUCGGGGUUGGGUGGGGAGGUGUUGGCGGCGACAGCGCGGCUAUGGUAGGGGAGUGCGGCGCGGCAGCUGGUACAGUAGGCGUGCCAGGCGGAGAGGGCGGUGGCGCUGCGGCGGUAGCGGGUGGUGCAGCAGCGUCAUGACGCUCAUGAGGGCGUAGGGAGCGCGGACACCGUGGCACGAGUGGCGCGAUCGCGUGAUCGAGGGGUGUCAGCCGGUGGUGCAGGGGCAGGUGUUUGAAAUGGGAACGUGUGUUCAUCAAACACGACAUGGCGUGAUAUGACGACGCGCCCGGUCAUCCUGUUUAGACACCUAUAGCCCUUGUGGUCAGGUGAGUACCCGAGAAGGACGCAGGGUGCGGAGCGGGGCGCGAGCUUGUGGGGCGUGGUGGGCGUCAUGUUGGGGUAACAUAGACAUCCAAAGACGCGGAGCGAGGUGUAGUCUGGGUGCGAUCCAUAGAGUAGAAAGAAUAGAGUUUGGUCAUGUCGAGGAUGGCAUGGUCGACGGUUGAGAAGGAAUGAGGUAGUCUGAAGUGCCUCCGCCCAGUACUCGUAGGGCAUGUGUGCAUGCACGAGGAGUGAGCGAGCAAUGUCAUUGAGCGUGCGCAGGGCGCGCUCGGCCCGUCCAUUCUGUGGCGAGGAGUACGGGCAUGACAUACGAAGGACAACGCCAAGGGAGGAGAAGAGCGUGCGAGCGGCCUGGUUAUCAAAUUAUCUGCCAUUGUCUGUUUGUAGGGUGAGAACUGGGAGAUUAAAGUGAUUACGCACAAAGGUGAAGAAGUGGCGCAGUUUAGGAAAGACGUCUGAUUUAUGCUUGAGCGGGAAGGUCCAAGCGAAAUGGCUGUAAUCAUCGAGUAAUAGGAGAUAAUAUUGACAACCAGAUAUGCUCAUAAUGGUCGAUGUCCAUACAUCACAAUGAACUAACUGGAACGGAAAAAACGACACAUGAUCGGAUGAACUAAAAGGUAGCCUAGUACUUUUGCCUAGUUGACAAGCAUGACAGACAUGGCCGCCGCCGCCCGUGUGGUCGAUGGAGGAACGACGGAGGGUGUGAUCAAGGGCAUCAGCGCCAAGGUGCCCGAAGCGCUGGUGCCACAAGUCACGCGAGACGGCGGUGAGUGCAUGAUGAGCCUGGACUGGUGCAUGGGGCAUGGGGUAGAGCUCGUCGUCGACAGAGUUACACCGAAGGAUCACCUUCCUCGUGCUUCGAUCCUUAAGAGAGAAACCAAUAUCAUCAAACUCAACAUUAACAGGGUUUUCGCGAGCGAGCUUUUUGACAGAGAUUAGGUUUUUGAUGAGGUGGGGUGAGACUAGGACGUUGUUGAGGGACAGGGGGGGUGUGGGUGGGGAUAUUGAGAUGCCCGGAGUGCGUGACUGCAAAGGAAUCCCCAUUGCCGACUACAAUGCGAGCAGAAUGACAAGGCUGUGAGGAUGAUAGCAUACCAGAGGAGGAGGCCAUGUGCGAUAUGGCUCCUGUGUCGAGGUACCACUCCGCGCCGGGCAGUGUGAUCGGUUGCUGCUGCUGCAUCGUCAGGUUGUUGAGGGCCUGGACGAGGGAGGCUUGAUCCCAGCUGGGCAUGGAAGAAGCAGCAGAGCCCACGGCCGGCGCUCCGUACAGCGGAUGAGGCGGCACGGCGGGCUGCCAAACAGUCGGCAGCCCGUAGUUGGUGUUGUUGUUGGGCGCCGCAGACUGGUGGUAGGCCAUGCCGGCGAACGGCGCGGCACCGCCAGGGCGUGGCCCGAGAAUGCCGGCGCCCGGAGCAUGCGGACGCCAUGGCAUGGGCCAGGCGUGCACCAUGCCAGUCCAUGGUGCCGGGGCUGGAGCAGCGGGACGAGGUGGCGCGCCGCCCCCGCCGGAGUUGGAGGACUGCCCCCCGCCGUAGUGAGAGCUCUUGCCCUUGCCCUUGUUGCGUCCGCCACCGCCGCGGGUGGUGCCACCACCACUGUUCCCGCCGCCGUUGUUGGUGUUGGGAGCACGGGCGGCAUGGAGAGCGGUGUCCGUGGUGGUGUCAGCGGCCUGAUGGCUUUCCUCCAGGAGUAGAAAAGCGCGGCAGCGGAGGAAGGUGGGGAAGGGGGUCUGCAUUGUGAGGAUAGGUAUGGCGUAGCGAAAGCGCGGGUGCAGCCCGCGGAUCAUGUUCAGUACCUGAUCACGAUCGUCGACAAGGGCGCCGAGGUCGGCGAGGCGUUCGGCGCACUCCUUGAGCUUGGUGAAGAAGGAGAUGGUGGACAUGUUGCCUUGCUCGAGAGGACGAAAUUCGGUGGCGAGGAGGACCACCUGGUGCUCGCUGUUCUCGAGGAAGAGGGUGCAGAUGGCGGCCCACACCUCCGCCGCGGUCACACCACGCUGAUGGAUGAGCGCGAAGAUGUCGGCACUGAUGCGGUUGUAGAGCCUGGACACGAUGUGAGCGUCGUCCUGCAUCCAGCCCGGAUCAGCACGGCGCGGUGCGCCGGUGAUGUGGCCGGCGACGCCGCUCUUCUGGAACAUCACUUCGAACAGGGUGCGCCAGUGGGAGAAGUUGGGAGGGUUGAGGGAGAGCACGAUCGGGACGUGCUGGUUGAUGUACACGCCGGAGAGGGGAGAUGGGUUGGACGGUGCAGUGGAGGAGGUGGCGCUGGGGUCGGGGACGAACAGAGCACCACCGUGGUUGAGGAGGGAGGGGGUGAGGAGUGUGGGGCGGCGAGCCGCUGGGGUAGCAAGAGAGCCGCCGGCGCAUCCACCGAAACCAAAGCCGGGCGGGGGAGGAGGUGGUGAAGGGGCGGCCAUGGCUGGGUGUGGUGGAGCAGUUGGCAGGAGAGUGCAGCGGAAGAGGUCUAGCGACGCAGGAGGAGACCGGCGUCUGAUACCAUGUGAACAAGAGAGAUCGGGGAAGCAAUGCACCUUAGGUGUUGCUGUAUUCCUCUUGGGGUAUAUAUGGUGUUACAGUACAACAGAGAGAGCGCAUGGCGCAGUGGGGCGACGUGUUGCAGAUCGUGGUGAUCGUGCAUGUCGUGGGAGAGCUAUACAGCUGAGCUAUACAGCUGAGCUAUACAACUGGUGUCAGUUAACACGGACGAUGGAAAUGGACACCUAGAACCGGUGGGCCUAUGACUACCACUGCCGACCUGACACGUGGCCGCAUGCAUGGAGUACGGCGAUUCUCCGGAAGCUGAUGUCAUGAGGCCAGUCUACCACGUGUGUCACACUAUGUCCAUGUAAACAAACGCUUUGGUUUGGCAGUUAACUCGUGGUGAUAUGCAACUAGUGGAGUAGUUUCUUAAAGUCAAUAGUACGUCUUUAGGUUUGGUUUCCAGGGUUAUUAAAAUUCAUGGACAGAAAAACUGUAGGACUAAAGUAUCACGACCUUUUCAUUUCUAUUUCUAGGAAUUUGGAAAGCUACGGCCUACGUGAGUAUGCAUUGUAGACUGUUAGACGCCACAAGAAAAAGAAACAAAUUUGUAACAGAAGCUUCGAGUGCAUGAAAAUUUUCCUUCAAAAUAGAGUACAUGAAUUCACUAAAAUAAUCUAAGGAUUUCAAUCAAUGAGUUCCAUAUGGAGGAAAAACUAAAUUGUAUGAAAUCCCUUUGAGCCAAAGAAUAAUCCUGUGAGUAAUGGCUAAUUCCACAUUACAUAUUUGAACUAUGAAACUUGAUUCCCGCAAAAUAAAAACAGAACUAUGAAACUUGACAAAUGAAUCCAUCUUUAACGAAGAGGAAAACUGCAAUAAAUAAAAUUUAUGGUAGAUUUUUAAAUAAUGUAAUGUUAUGGAUAUUGUCAUUUGCUUAUAUUGAUGGUCCAACAAAAAAAUGUGUUUGUAUAUACACCACAUUCUUUUUUGAAACGGGACUUCUAGCCUAGUGGCAAAAUCGCGCUGGUGCAUCUUGGCAGACUCAAACCCGUAUCCGUGGGCGAGAUAUUAUUUCACGGCCUAAAACUCGACGUCUCACACCCUCCUUCUUAAUUAAAAUGCCACGCGGCUCCUCCCCCAUUGGUCUAGUAUACUACACUUAUAGUAAAAGGACCUUUUUUGUUUGGCAAAUGGGGCUAUUUUAGAUAUUUGAACCCUAAAUUACUAGUAGGUAGCCAAGAGCCCAAGAGAUGGCGGCUUCACGGAAACCAAACCACUGAGUUUGUAAUGAACUAGCCGGUUCUAGUUGCCAUAGGAUGUCAUUGUCACUCGAACCACAAAUCAAACAAGUUGGUCAUGCGGUGGUGUUUGGUCUGACAUGACAAGUUAGUCGGCUCGAUCGAUCGGUCCACUCAGGACCCGGUUCCUCAAACAAACUUGUCACUACUUCUCAUGAUUCUUUCUGGCCAAUGUGUGAAACAACGAAAUUCGAGCAUUCCUUUGGCGAUACUCAAUACAUCUUACCUCCACUUGAUGAUGAUGAAUAGGCCAAGUACUUCUUCCGACGCGCUCAUCGAGGAUUAAGAUGAAGCGCAUGACUACAUCACUAAAGGAAAUCUCUUCAGUGUUCAGCGAGCUGUACAUCAACAGAGUGAAGCUUUGGGCGACCGCAUCGAGCAACUCGCCACCGACUUAUGCCAAUCGGAAGCAAGGAACCGGGUCUAUCUUGACUCCAAAGCUAUCCACCCGAAUGGAAGAAUUUCGGCACAUGAUGGUCAACCACGCGUCUUCAACAUCUCCGUCUUCAAGACGGCGGUACUCAAGUCGACACUCUUCGGACACCUCUUCAGAUGGAAGUCUACCAUGAGCUCAUUCUCAUCUUUGAGACGACCAUCAUGAUUAUCAAGCUUCAUAAAAUUCAUUCCAUGGUAAUGGUUUACAAGACCUCCUUCGAGAGCGCGAACGACAUCGUCGCCAAGAACAAGAUGCCAUGGACCAAGAGCAAUCCCCACGACGUCACCGCCAAGAAAACCAAGACGGCGACACACUAUGGAAAGAACAACAAUGCUGUGAGAACCAAGCACUUGAAUCACAACUUGCCCUUCGAGAAGCCACACGCGCCGUCCAAGAGAAGAACCGCCGAAUGUGUGAGCAAGAAGAAGCGCUAUGCCAAGCGCAACAAGAUGAAGCCGCUCACAUUGAGGAACACAAAAGGACGAACCAUGCACGAAUCCCUCACCCCCAAUGUCAAACUAAUCAAGAGGGGCAAGAGGUUGAAGACCCACCUCCAAGACACGAGCGACGACACCAUAGGCAUAAUGACGAGCAAAGCUACGGUAAACUCAAGUUUGACAUACCUAAGUUCUUCGGAGGCACUGAUCCCAAAGACUGCCUCUCAUGGGCCUUAAAAGUGGACAAUAUAUUAUUCUUCAUAAAUACGAUGAGGAAGAGAAGGUAGCAAUGGCAUCACUUGAGUUCCAAGAUUAUGUUUUCAUUUGAUGGGAGCAAGUCAUCGAGCGACUCCAAGAGAAAGGUGAAUCACCCAUCAUAACUUGGACACAAUUGAAGGAUGUCAUGGGAGCCAGUUUUGCGCCUACACACUAUAGCCAUCAUCUCUUCAAGAAGCUACAACUCCUCAAGGAAGGCACAAAGUCGGUUGAAGACUACUACGUAGAAAUGGAGAUUGCUAUCAUUCGAGCCAAUUUCAAGGAAGAUGACGAGCAAACUAUGGAGCGUUUCUUGAAUGGACUCAACCAUCCUAUCAAGAAAAUUGCGGAUUUCCAACAAUACUCCAACCUCCUCGAGCUAGUACAUUAAGCAACCAAGGCGGAGUGACAAGUACAAGAUGACUUCAAGUACUCCAAGUACUCUUUCAAGACCUAUGGUUCAUAUACUCAAGCUUCCAAAACCAUGACACCUCCAACAACUACUAGUCGAGCUCCAACAAGCAAUGACGACAAGUCAAGUUCUAAGCAACCAAUGACUUCGUAGAUUCGUUCCACUAAAAGAAACUAUAAACAUGGAUCUUCAUCCUCCACUUCCAUCCAAUAUUUCACUUGCAAGGGUCGCGGCCACAAGACAGUUGAGUGUCCCACAUGGCGCACCAUGAUUGCCAAUGAUGACGACACAUACGACUCCAUGAGCGGUCAAAGAAAUGGAAGCCUUGGAACACGUUGUCAUGCACCAUCAAGUGAAUGAAGAUGAAGGCGCUCAAGUCAUUUGUGAGAAUGAUUCAAGCCCCGCUCUCAUUGUCUCCAAGUUCUUGACACUUCAACAACAAUAAGACGAAGACCAACGUUGCCAUAUCUUCCACACCAAAGAGGGCAUUGAUGACCCACAAGUGUAGGGGAUCUAUCGUAGUCCUUUCGAUAAGUAACAGUGUCGAACCCAACGAGGAGCAGAAGUAAAUGAUAAGCUGUUUUCAGUAAGGUUUUCUGCAAGCACUGAAAUUGUAGGUGAUCGAUAGUUUUAUGAUAAGAUAAAUAGUAACGAGUAACAAGUAAAUAAAGUAAAUAAGGUGCAGCAAGGUGGCCCAAUCCUUUAUGUAGCAAAGGAUAAGCCUGGACAAUUUCUAAUAAUGACAAAGGAGCUCCCGAGGACACAUUGGGAAUUAUCGUCAAGCUAGUUUUCAUCACAUUCAUAUGAUUUACGUUCGGUACUUAGAUAAUUUGAUAUGUGGGUGGUUUGGUGCUUGGGUACUGCCCUUACUUGGACAAGCAUCCCACUUAUUAUUAACCCCUAUUGCAAGCAUCCGCAACUAAAACAAAAGUAUUAAGGUAAACCUAACCAUAGCAUGAAACAUAUGAAUCCAAAUCAGCCCCUAACGAAGCAACGCAUAAACUAGGGUUUAAGCUUCUGUCACUCUAGCAACCCAUCAUCUACUUAUUACUUCCCUAUGCCCUCCUCUAGGCCCAAUAAUGGUGAAGUGUCAUGUAGUCGACGUUCACAUGAGACCACUAGAGGAGAAGACAACAUACAUCUCAUCAAAAUAUCGAACGAAUACCAAAUUCACAUGACUACUAAUAGCAAGACUUCACCCAUGUCCUCAGGAACAAACGUAACUACUCACAAAGCAUAUUUAUGUUCAUAGUCAGAGGUGUAAUAAUAUGAAUUAAGGAUCUGAACAUAUGAUCUUCCACCAAGUAAACCAACAAGUAUCAACUACAAGGAGUAAUCAACACUACUAGCAACCCACAGGUACCAAUUUGUGGUUUUGGAUACAAGAAUGGAUACAAGAGAUGAACUAGGGUUUGAGAGGAGAUGGUGCUGGUGAAGAUGUUGAUGGAGAUUGACCCCCUCCCGAUGAGAGGAUCGUUGGUGAUGACGUUGGUGAUGAUUUCCCCCUCCCGGAGGGAAGUGACCCCGGCAGAACAGCUCUGCCAGAGCCCUAGAUUGCUUCCGCCAAGGUUCCGCCUCGUGGCGGCGGAGUUUCGUCCCGUAAGCUUGCCCCCGAUUUUUCUAGGAUAAAAGUGAUGAUAUAGCAGAAGAUGGACGCCGGAGGCCCACCAGGGGGGCCAGGAGAUAGGGGGUGUGCCCUAUAGGGGGCGUCCCCUGUCUCCUGGACAGGGUGUGGGCCCCCUGGACUAUUUCUUUCGCUCAGGAAUUCUUAUAAAUCCCAAAAAGUUGUUUCGUGGAGUUUCAGGACUUUUGGAGUUGUGCAGAAUAGGUUUCCAACGUUUGCUCCUUUUCCAGCCAGAAUUCCAGCUGCCGGCAUCCCCCCUCUUCAUGGUAAACCUUGUAAAAUAAGAGAGAAUUGCCAUAAGUGAUGACAUAUAUUGUGUAAUAACAGCCCAUAAUGCAAUAAAUAUUGAUAUAAAAACUUGAUGCAAAAUGGACGUAUCAACUCCCCCAAGCUUAAACCUUGCUUGUCCUCAAGCGGAAGCCGAAAUCGAAAAUAUGUCCACAUGUUUAGAGAUAGAGGUGUCGAUAAAAAUAAAAUACGGACAUGAGGGCAUCAUGAUCAUUCUAAUAACAGCAACAUAUAUAGAUUUUGUCAUAUGAUUUCCUAUGCUUAAGUAACAAGCAAUUCACAAUGUCAAAUAUGGUUCAGAAACUUCAUUGGGAACUAACAAACUAUAAUCUCAGUCAUUGAAGCAAUUUCAAUUUAUCGUAACAUCAGAAAGAGUCAAUAAAAGAGCUUUUCAGCAAGCUCACAUACUCAACUAUCUCAUAGUCCUCUACAGUUGCUAACACUCACGCGGUACUUUAUGGUUAUGGAGUUUCAGCCGGACACUGAGAAAGAUAGGGGCUUAUUGCGUUGCCUCCCAACGUAUUCACCUUUGGGAUAUGUAUACCAGUGGCAGCCCUUAGAACAGACACGGCCAGUUUGCAAAUUUUAAAACAUAAGUUUUUUAGCGCGCAUGAAAAACAGAAUACGUAUCUUUUCAAACAUAAUGAACUAUAGUUACUGUUCGGUGAUAUUUUGUCAUGGUUUUGCGAGUUUAAAAAUUUCAAAUCAUAAUUGGAAGUUCGAGAAAAUAUCAACUGGGUUCUCAUUUGCCAAGUGAAAAAGAAAUCAUAGUGAUGUACAGGGGUGGUGACAAUCAGACGCUGAGGACACACACGCGUGAGGCAUCUUAGAAUUUUACGUGGCUUAGUAGAUGGCAGCGUUCUCUAAGAAAAAAAGAUUAUAAAUGGGACCCAUAGCUAAAGAGGAAUAAUAAGUACACAUGGUGGAUUGAUUGGUACGUGCUGGAUUACUUGGACCAUUCGCUACUACGUGCACAUACAUGUUUAGAUGCAUGCACAAGUGACAGCCGUUGGCAGGUAUGAUUUGAACUUUUGGAGUUCGUUUAGUUGGAUAAGUAUGCAUGCGUGAUAUCCAGGAGUUCUGCCACAGGUGCGAGGAAGCUGUUGGUCAGUGGCCGUUGAAUCUACUCCAGGAUAAGCCAUACGGGAUACAUAGAUAAUCAUCAGAUGUGUCGAGAGGAGGAGAGGUUCGAGUUCUGAGGCGGCCGCAUAGCGCAACGGCAGUUCAUUUCUCACAGCAACCACGCCGCCGCCAGCACCACACACAUACACAUCUACAUGACAGCUCGAUCAAAUCUCCAACAUGUUAGGAAAUAUGCAACUUAUCUCUAUUGAAGGCCCAAGGGGCAUAUAUAUAUUACACGUGACUUGAGGUGUAAGAAAACUAAACAUAGACUAAUAAGGACUCCUAGACCAAUACUAAUACUCCUUAACACCCCUCCUCAAAUGCAAAGCGUAUGCAAUAGCAUUGCAUUUGAAGAAGUGUAAUACCAAAAAAUAAUAAUUGAUAAUCCAAAUCCGCGUCUUGAGAGUGUCGUCGUAGCAUGAAGAGUCUUCAAAACCUGUCGAGUCACCAAAGGGGAUAACGAAGAGAUGGCACAUCAGAGGAAGACACCGCAUCGAUUGAAGAUACAAGAUAAGUAUCAAGAGAAGAUGGGUUGCCAAAAGAAGAUGGCACAUCAGAGAAUAAAGCAUUGUGCAAAAAAAUCAUGGUCCACGACAACCGACGGCGAAAGAAGCUCGACGGUUAAGGCACGAUGGACGAAGAUCGACAAUGCAAAAGGAGUCCAAAAAAUCAUAUAGAAAACAACAAGGGCAAGUAAGCCACAAAAGUUGUAUAGAAAGGAUCAGGACCAAAGAAAAGGCUGAUGAACAAUGGUAUGGUGGACUCACAUGACAUGAGAAAACACAAAAUUUCAACGAAUUUGGUGGACACAGCGGAAAACAGAGAAAACUAAUCUGCCAAAAAGCUAGGAAGCAUAAACGACACAAAGAUGCAAAAUCCAUCGUGUAUGUAGAAGACAUUGGACUGUUUUUUUUUUUUUUUUUUUGAAAUCAAGAUGGGAACGGACAUACGCUAGCACGCGGUCACAUACGUGACGGUAAGACAGCAGCUAGCAUGCAGGAACGAACACAGCAGCAAAGCAGCAGCUAUAGCUCAGCAGCCGGAAGCGAUCUGGCCAGGGAGGUGAAGGCGGCCUCGGCCUUGAGCUGGACGAGGCGACCUCAACUUGGAGCUGGACGAGGUAACCCCGAUCUGGCGCACAGGUGUGAACGCAGCAUAGUAGCCAACCAGGCAAGGCGGGCUUUGAUCCAUGCAGACGAUCACGGCUGGGCAGGCGCACGUCACGGGCGCACUCGUCACCAGUUUGGAUCGAGCGAAGCAGCUGGGCGGCAGGUGCCCCACGCAGCAUGAGAACGACAGCGGAAGACGAGAUCGACCCUGAGAAGAAUAGAUCGAUCGAGAAAAAAAAAUCUAGUGGAUCGUAAGGACGAGUUGCGGCGUCCGGAGACCUAAACCUAGGCUCUGAUACCAUGUUAGGAAAUAUGCAACUUAUCUCUAUUGAAGGCCCAAGGGGCAUAUAUAUAUUACACAUGACUUGAGGUGUAAGAAAACUAAACAUAGACUAAUAAGGACUCCUAGACCAAUAUUAAUACUCCUUAACAUUGUUGAGUAACGUGAUUGUAUAGGAAAGCUAGGAUAGCGUAGGAUAUUAUUCUACCUUGCCUUGUACUCCAAGAUGAUCAUGUACUCCUAUAUAUAUGCCCACGAGGCUCAAGCAAUACAAUUGACUAUUCCACCAAUCCCUCUCUCUCCCUUCUAACAUGGUAUCAGUUUCCGGGUUCUAAACCUUAGCCGUCGCCGCUUCCACACCCGCGCGCCGCCCCUGGGGCGGUCCGUCUCCAUGACCGCCGCCGGGGGCCGCGUCGCCCGUACCUAGGGUUCGUCCGCCGGCCGUGUUGGCCGGCUACCCUAGAGAGUCUUUUUCCCGAUCCUUUGAUCCGGGUUUUUCUCUCUCUCGCCGGUCGCUUUGAUCGGCGUUUACUUUUUGGUUUUCUGAUUCACUCGAUCGGUUUGCGUCGCCCACCGCCGCCGUCGACACCUGGCGCCUCUACUCCGACAUCGGCGCGACCGGGCGGCUACUUCACCGACCCGGCGGCCUCGUGUGACAGGCAGCCCUCAAGGCCGUCGUCCGCGCACCGGCCCGCCCGUCGCCCUGCGUCAGCCAUCACCGCCCUGCUCCGACCGGGACUCUUGCAUCACCCGACCCGGCGGCCUCGCGCCAUGCGGCGGCCAAUCAUAGCCGCCCUGUCGCCCGCCGUCGUCGGCCUCAUCCAGGACUCCGCCGCCACCACGCCUCCAUCGAGCGGCGUCCCCGUCCUCGGACGCGAUUGGCUUGAUCACCCGCUUGCCGCCGCGAUCUGCCUCAUCUACGCCGCGCGACCAACCUCGACCGUUGGUGACGCGCGCCUCCGCACGUCCCGUGAAGAUCGUCCUGAGUACCGCGCGCCUAUCCACCGAUCGAACAUCGGGCUACCGCUGCGUCGCCCCGUCGGGCCGCAGUGCCGCCGCCCCGUGGUUCUUCUCCCGGCUGCACCGACCCGCGUCACCGCUGCGUCGCCCCUUCGGGCCGUAGUGCUGCAGCCCGCGGUCCACCGCCGCCCCUGGGCCGUCCGCUCCAUGACGUCCCAUGGCUGCACCGACACUCGCGCCGCCGCUGCGUCGCCCCGUUGGGCCGUAGCGAGCGUGGCACGCGGUCCACGCCGCCGUCCCGAGGCCGUCCCGCGGUUGCACCGACCCGCGCUCCUCCGCCGCGCCGCCCCUUCGGGCUAUCGCGACGCGGCCCGCGGUCUCUGCCGCCGCCCCGAGGUCUUCCCGCCGUCACCCCGACCUACCCGCCGCCGUUGCGUCGCCCCUUUAGGCCGUAGUGCCGCGGCCCGCGGUCCACUUCGUCGUCACCGCACGUCGACUUCCCGUGGUAUGCGCCGCGCCGUCUUCCUUGGCGCGGGAACGCCACCGUCCGCGCCGGUCUUCAUCAUGCUGUCAGGGUUCUUCGCCUACUUCGAGCACCGCCGCCGCACUCCUAACCUAGCCGCCGCCGCCGCCGCUCUUCAUUGGCCGCCGUCGGCUACCUCCGUAGCUGCCGCCGCCGCCCGUCCACCCCGUUCGUCUUCGUCUAGCAUCCAGCCCGUCACCAGCAUCGCCGUCAUCUACCCCGACCACUUCGUCUACUCCGACCACCGUUGGUGACAUUGGCCCCGUGCCGAUGGAUGCCACAACCGUCGUUGAGUUCUUCUCUGCUGGCCCUCCGACUUCUUCUACAUGGCGUACAGCUCGUGCAGGUCCCUAGUCUACGCAUGCCCGGUGCUGGCAACACCGUCGCGUGCCUUCGUCCACAACGUGUCCCCGGGCCUGGCAAGCCUGGUGCGACGCUUCGUCAACUUCGUCUUCGUCCGUCUACGCAUGCCCAGUGCUGGCAACACCGCCGCGUGUCUUCGUCCACGACGUGUCCCCGGGCCUGGCAAGCCUAGCGCGACGCGUCGUCAACAUCAUCUCCGUCCUGGCGCACCACUACUUCGACACCACUGCGCCCAUGCUAACUUGGCGCCCCCUUGCGCCCGCGGCUCCACGGCGACUUCCUCGACACCGGCCACCCUGACUCGACAUCGACCACGGCAUUCUUCGCACGGCUACCUCGACCACGGCUCCACCACCCACGCUCUCGGCUACAUCGACAAACGGCACAAAGGGCUACCGCCUGCUUGAGCAACCUCGUCGGUUGCCACUCCAGCCACGACUCCGCGAUGCGUCGAUCGUUACGACUGUGGGGGGGUGUCCGUCGGCUUGCCUUCGGAUUCUUCUCCAGUCUCAUCGUCUGCGUCGCUACCGUUGUGACUGCGAGGGGAUGUUGAGUAACGUGAUUGUAUAGGAAAGCUAGGAUAGCGUAGGAUAUUAUUCUACCUUGCCUUGUACUCCAAGAUGAUCAUGUACUCCUAUAUAUAUGCCCACGAGGCUCAAGCAAUACAAUUGACUAUUCCACCAAUCCCUCUCUCUCCCUUCUAACAUAUUGAAUUCAUGCUCCAACCAACUCAUCCAAAAGUCUGAACUGAUGGAGGGAGGCGGACAAUAUUUCAACACUCCCCCUCACGUCUAGGCUAUUAUAGUCCUUAGACGUGGGAUCGAUGUAGGUCGCAGAAUUGUUUUAUUUAAUACUGCGUUGGCAGGGUCUUGAACUCAAGACCUCUUGGCUCUGAUACCAUAUUGAAUUCAUGCUCCAACCAACUCAUCCAAAAGUCUGAACUGAUGGAGGGAGGCGGACAAUAUAUUUCAACACAACACAACAUUAGCAAUCACGGCUCCUUGCAAUCUUUACUCCGCGUCUCCAUUUCAAGGACCGGAUCGGUGAUGUUACUUGGUAAGUGAGCCGCAUGAAGGUGUGAAAUGCGGCUAUUUUAUUUCUUUCUUCCGUUUUCUUCUUCCAUUGCAGGUUGGUAAUGCCUCGCCUUUCAACCUGACGAUCGAAUCGUUGCCGCUGGCGUUUUACCGUUUGAUCUACAAAAGGAAUAUAUGACGUCCUGCGGCUCUACCCGAUGCUUCAAUCAUCGCCGCGGAUAUGCCAUGAUCUGAUGUAAAAAAAAGAGUUAUUGCAUCCCGCGGCUCUACAUGACGAUCUAAUCAUCGCCGGGGAUGUGUAUAGAUCCAAUAUGAAAAAAAGUGAGUGAUGACAUCCAGCGGCUCUAUAUGACGAUCUAAUCGUCGCCGCGGAUGUCUAUAGAUCCGAUAUGGAAAAAGAGAGUGAUGACAUUUACUGGCUCUACCUGACGUUACAAUCGUCGCCGCAGAUAUGCCACGAUCUGAUGUGAAUAAAAGAUAGCUAUUGCAUCCCGCGGCUCUACUUGACGCUUCAAUCGUCGCCGCGGAUGUAUGAUAAUGAUGUAUUAAAAGAGACAAUUACGACAUCUCGCGGCUCUACCUGACACUCCAAUCGUCACCGUGGAUGUAUGAUGAUCCGAUAUAAAACGGAGAUGGUAUGACAUCUUGACUCUAUAUGGCGAUUGAAUCGCUGAUGUGGACUUUUCACCGUCAAGUGGCCGCCUUGUCAUUUUUUUUACCCUUUGAUCUUUAUUUAUUUGAGUUCUGUUGAUUUGUGAUGAUCUACAUGCAAAUUCGUGCAUGCAUUACUGUACACGUACCAGCCUGCAUGGGACAUGGCAUGAGCAGAAGCCUUCCCGAGACUGCAACAUAUACACACAUCCUGAACUAGAGUUUGCAAGCAUUUACAAAGAAGGAGAUUCACUUGACAUGCAGAGGUCAACUUCAUAAUGAGAGUGGAGCACGUACCAACAAUGACAUGGCCAUCUUCACAGGGAUAAUAAGACGCCAUUGUUCAAAGUUUAUACACUCAUUAUUCACGUCGACUGUCAGUUCAUUAUUCAAUCUCUCUUCUUUUUUUUAACCCACGAGGCCGGAAUAUGAUGCAUACAUAUCCUAACCGCCAUGGUUUGAAACACAUAGUCUGCGACCGACGGGGCCGGCCGGACAACUGCUUCAAGGCUUCAUAUCAGAUUUUUGACCGACUGCUCAUGGAGAGGUGGGGCUCAAUAUUACAUGGUUGAUGAUAUGUUAUGACUACAUCUUUAGCAAUGCAGUUUUUUUUUUGUCCCGAGCAUUUUUAGAAGGGCUUAUCUUGAAUCAAAAGGUCAUGUUGUAACUCCUUGACAUGUAAACAUUUCUCAUAGUGGAUUUGGCCUCCGUGCCACCGUGGUUUUUUACCCAACUUGGGUUUUUCUACGUUAAAAUGUGUGUCCCCUGUCUGUGCUUUGAUGAUCUGUUUUAUUUCCAUGCAUAUAAUUAUGAAGGGUGAGAUAGAGAUUUUAUAAAGAUAAGAUGAUCAUUUGAUUCAGCUUAAUCGGAGGUAUUGUGCAAGUGUAGAUUCGCAGAUGUAAUUAACUGGAAUUAUUUCAAGGUUCCAGGAAUUAAGGACUUCUGCAAUCGUCUCAGUCAGAUAUAUAUAUUCAGGCGCAAUAUGGAACAUACAUGUGAAAUAGAAAUAGGCAAUCCUUUGAUAAUUCGAUAAAGUGUGAGUCUCCUAUUUCCGUGUAUUCGAAGUAAUGAAUUCGUAUACGCUCGUAUACUGGCACGCCUGCACCUAAAAUGCCAACGCAGGUAGAUUUAAUAUUUAUCUUGCGAAAACAGGUACCACCAAAAAAACAUAAUGAACUAUAGGUUGUCACAAGAACUCAUGCCAUCCCACAGCCUCCCUCCGACCCUGCCAACAUUGUUGCAGCUGCACUCGGAACCAUUACCAUAGAUGAUCAUUUGCAUGAUUUCACGUAAAACAAAAUAAGAUCUACAAACGAAUAGAAGCUACACAUACCUUGGCAUGCACACACAUUGCAAGCCAUACUAAGCUGAUAAGUGUUAAUAACUUGUACAACAUAUACAACACUUAAGAUAAGUAAAAGCAAUUUGAUGAGUCAUGGUCUACCAAAGCAAGCUGCAGUAUUACUCUAAUCUAUCUUAACAGGUCACACAUGAUUACAAUCCUUUUUGUGUGCAAGUCAAGCUUAUCUAGUUUACACCUAACAACUUGUAGAACAUUACACAAUUGAUGUUUGCUAAUAACUUCUAGAAAGAUACACCAAUUGACAUGUAAAAGGAAUUUGAUGAGUCAUGACCUACUAAAGCAAGUUACGUUACUAGUCUCAUCUAUCUUAACAGGUCACACAAGAUUACAAACUAAGUUCUGUGUAAGCAAUGCUUAUCUAGUUUACAAAUAACAACUUGCAAAACAUUACAAACUUAGUUUCAAAAAAUUAGGCAAUCUAGAUUAGUGUUUGAGCUGUAAAGUGAAUAAGAUGAGUCAUGUGUGUUAUCACAACUUUUUGGUGGUGGAAUGAUAGUGCCACCAAACACAACAUACCAAAUUAUGAUUUCAGGAAGCACCCAAGCACUUUCCAGACAAGCAAAUGCCAAUUGUGAAGGAGAUGAUGCCAUGGCAGCUAUAAAUAGGCCUAUAGCAUGAUGAUCAUCCUUCAGCAUCCAUCAUUCUCAUAAGUAGAGUGCAUCAUUCAAGCCAAGCAAGCAGUGGUCAAUACAAAUCCACCAUGAAGUCAUUUCUCAUCCUUGCCCUCCUUGCUAUCGUGGCGACCACCGCCACAACUGCAGUUAGAGUUCCAGUGCCACAAUUGCAGCCACAAAAUCCAUCUCAGCAACAACCACAAGAGCAAGUUCCAUUGGUGCAACAACAACAAUUUCUAGGGCAGCAACAACAAAAAUUUCCAGGGCAGCAGCAACCAUUUCCACCACAACAGCCAUAUCCGCAGCCGCAACCAUUUCUGCCACAACUACCAUUUCCGCAGCCGCAACCAUUUCCACCACAACAAUCAUAUCCACAACCGCAACCACAGUAUCCACAACCACAACAACCAAUUUCGCAGCAACAAGCACAACAACAACAACAACAACAACAACAAAUCCUUCAACAAAUUCUGCAACAACAACUGAUUCCAUGCAAGGAUGUCGUCUUGCAACAACCCAACAUAGCACAUGCUAGCUCACAAGUAUCGCAACAAAGUUACCAACUGUUGCAACAAUUAUGUUGUCAGCAAUUGUGGCAGACCCCCGAACAGUCACGGUGCCAAGCCAUCCACAAUGUCGUGCAUGCUAUUAUUCUGCAUCAUCAACAACAACAACAACAACAACAACAACAACAACAACAACAACAACAACAACAACAACAACAACAACCGUCGAGCCAGGUCUCCUACCAGCAGCCUCAACAAUAAUAUCCAUCGGCCCAGGGCUCCUUCCAGCCAUCUCAGCAAAACCCACAGGCCCAGGGCUUUGUCCAACCUCAACAACUGCCCCAGUUCGAGGAAAUAAGGAACCUAGCACUGCAGACGCUACCUGCAAUGUGCAAUGUCUACAUCCCUCCAUAUUGCUCGACCACCAUUGUGCCAUUUGGCAUCAUCGGUACUAACUGAGAAGAGAAGAACUCUAGUACUAGAUAUAUGAAACACCGUUUUCUUAGACCAUGGUUUGGUCGUUGUGGCGGUGAAAAAUAAAGUGACAUGAUCUAUCAUGUAAGAACCCGAACUAUACUAUUUCAAACUUGGGAAUAAAAGACAAACACAGGUCUUUUCUGCAUAUGAUUGUUUGUUUGAGUUCCAUUCAUGUGCCCGUUCACAAGUUCACCCCUAAUUAUAUAUAUUAAGCAUUAAUUAGAUGUUUAUGUGCAUUAAUCUAAAGAUAACAGAAUGAAUCUGAAACUUGAAUUUAAUUGAAGUAUUUUCUUAGACUUUCAAAUUGAGCAUUGAUAGUGAGGACUAUCCACAUCCUUGGCUUGCCCUUGAUCAAUUCUUUCCAAAUAAGCAUUCAAUUCAUCAGUCAAUUACAUUGAUUUUUGUGGCUUGUACUUCUCCUCAACAUGAGUAUCUUCGUUGCGGCUACUCCAAAUCUCCCACAUAACUGAAGCAUUAAUAGCACUCUUCCUUACAUCAAGAAAAUAUGGAUCGAAGAUAUGUCUUGACCAUGUUUCUGGGUGCAACCUUGGUAGUUUUAUGUCAAAAUAUUCUCAAGCAGAAUCCAAGAAUAAACUUGCAUGCUCACGUGUGAUAAGGGCAUAUGAAGUAACAUUUCCUCACCAAGGCCACACAUAGGGCACACACAUAACCCCAUCACAUGCCUUUUUAGUUAUGCAUAUGAAGGUAGGAUGUUUUUAAUUACUCUGCACCAAAAUACUCUUAACUUGGGUUGUAACCCAAGCUUCCGUUGCCUUUUAAAUUUUUCUUCCCCAUUAGAUGAACUAGACAGUCCAGCUACCACACGAUACCUUGUGUUCAUCACGGCUCUGUACAACAAUUGAACAGAAGAAAUGUCAUUUAUUUACCAUACCCAUGACCAAAUGUUCUCUCCUACUCCCUCCGUCCCAAAAUACUUGUCAUUAAAAUGGAUAAACGAGGAUGUAUCUAGAUGUGUUUUAGUUCUAAAUACAUCUCUUUUUGUCCAUUUUGAUGACAAAUAUUUCCGGACGGAGGGAGUACAUUAUUUGGUCGUGGCAUAUUAAGGAUGGCCACUUCACCUGAUGGGAUAAACACGUAAUGAAUGAAUGGAGUGUUCCAGUCGCGCGUGUUUUUUCAUCGAUAAGAUCAGCUACAAGUUGGACCAGAGUUCCUCACAUGUAUCAUAGUGGUUUCAUCAGCGGCGUGCCCUGCACCCAUUUAGCAUACCAUAUCUCUGUAGUAUGUGCAUUCCCAAUUUUUCACAACAUACCCUCCUUCAAACCUUCUCAUCCUUUCAGAAUAGCAUGCCAAGUUAACGAUGCACUAUGCGGGAACCCGCAUUUGAAAAAAAAAUCAUUUCAUGGUAUCUUCCGUGAAGGACCCUCGUACAUGAGCUAUCUAGAUAGAAAUAGUCAUGUGUGUUUAGCCAACUUUGUAUAAGUGAAUAUAUCAAGGUCGUGGAACCCCAAGCCUCCAAUUACACCCGGCCUCUCUACCAACAAGAUGUCCAAAGACAUCAAGGAUACACAUCCAAAAAAGAAAAUAAAAAGAACAGAAGAAAAAAAAUACCCCUCCAUGGUGAUCAAUCGCUAGCAUGCAUCAGUAGCACUCUAACCAUCACCGAAGACAAUGCCCGGAUUACAAAAAAGGUUCUCCAAAAGCAACGCCCCCAAAAAGGAAACAAUGCACAAGCGUUGUCGUUGCCCGAUCGAAGAUCGUGGGUAUUCACCUUGGAAAAAUUCCGAGUUCACCCAAAAACAAUGCCUUCAACAAGGCCAUUGCCAAGUACAAACAAUGAGGACCAGACCUUGGGUUUUCACCCUAGGAAUUGAGAAUCGAUACUCGAGGAGUACCACCAAAAAUACAUCACCCACCUCUUGAUCCAGACCUGCAGAAAAAGAUCAAAAACGCCGCAUCGUGCCACCCGUAUCCGUGGAGGCCUGAACUUGGCAAGACGCCAAACAUGGCUGGAGAUGGGGACCAACCACACCUGGCCAGAUCUGGUGACUCCUAGUCCCACCGCUGCCGCUACAGCAGCACCGCGUGUAGCAUACCAUCCCAUCUACGCUGUUGUCUGAUUAGAAGGAUACAUGGAUAUACAUAUGGAAAGGCCCACAUUUUCCCUCCAACAAUAUAAAUAAAGCUUAUUAGGAUGUGAGAAAGCUCACACAAUUUUAUACUGGCUAUGCAAACGUGUUCCCCGCUUCUACAGGAUACCCGCCGCCGAACUCACCAUCCGUUCUACACAAGCAGUAAAACCGAUCGGAUUACCAUUUCGGUUGUUACUUCUAUAGUCUAAUGGAACGAUCACUUCCAGAAUUACGCCAUGGUGCCAUCUUUUAUAUGCAACAUAUUGUGAACUGUAUUUUCUGUCAGUGAAGUUGACAAAAUAGAGUAAUACAGGGUACAGGGGUAGAGCAUGCAGGUGGUGGUUGUUGUGUGGUUUGUGUGUUAGUUAUGUGUGUACCUGGCGUCGAAGUAGCGUUGGCUGGCCAGCUGCAGCUCAUAGGCGCACGAGCACAACGGUGGCACGGCCACCACCGCCUCCACUGCGCGCAACGCCGAGAAGCAACAAGCAUGUUAGAAUUUGUCCGUGGACACUCGAUGGAUCGACCUGAUCGAUCACUCAUUUUGUGCAUACUCACCACCACACAUGGCUGAACCGAGCAUCCUCCUGGCGGCGCCCAAUGAGACCGUCCUCGCAGCGGCCACGGCUCGAUAGUUCGCCCCCAUGCGCGCGGUACGGUGCCGCAGCCUGCAGUCAAAACAGAGCACGCAGAGCACUAUCGGUGAGAUUGAAGGAGAGGAAUAUUGAAAUGGAAACUUAGCUAUAGGAGGUGAAGGCAAGGGGGGCUGGUGCAAGGGGAGGGAGACUCCUGGAGCUAGGGAGCACGCGGACGCCAUUUCUCAUGGUGCAAGUUUGUUUCAAUCUCCGAUCCUGCUCGCUGUUGAUUAUGGGUACAGUAAAUUUUAGCUAGCUACGAUGCAAACUAAGUGGUAUGCCUGGUCUUAACCUAUCUAUCUAUGUUAUCUUCUAUUCGGCGAGGUGGCUGCGCCUGUGGCGGAUGUGGCCGCUGCCAUGCCUUCCACCUGACCUGGUCAAUCUCCCUCUCCUAUAUUCGAGAAAAAAAAAGAUCUUUGUCUUCUCUUCUGAUCAGAUGGGGAGGAGAUGGUGAGAGAUGAGGUCAAUGGCUUUGGGGAGAGGAUAAGGGCGGACGCCAGCAGUGAGGCGGCAUGAGGAAGAUGAGGUGGUUAGCGGUGGCGACACAUGAGGGGAGGGGAAGGGAGGGGUAGCGUUGCAAGGAGGGGAGUGGGUGUGCGGCGUGCCCAGUUCACAAGAGAGGAGAGAGGUCGUCAAGGGAGCGAUCCAUGGGAGUUUUUUUCCUUCUAAGCGAGCCUAGUUGGGCUCUCUGCAGCGUCCAAGGCCCAAUGCACAACAUAUCUUCAAAUUUGCCACCAAUAGCAGCCCUUAGAACAGACAAGGCCAGUUUGCAAGUUUUAAAACAGAACUUUUUUAGUGCGCAUGAAAAACAGAACACGUAUCUUUCCACACAUAAUGAACUAUAGGUACGACCAAAAGAAAAACAUAACGAACUAUAGGUUGUCACAACAACUCAUGCCAUCCCACGGCCUCCUCCGACCCUGCCAAAAUUGUUGCAUCUGCACUCGCAAGUGUUACCGUAGAUGAUCGCUUGCAUGAUUUCACGUAAAAUAAAAUAAGAUCUACAAACAAAUAGAAGCUACACAUACCUUGGCAUGCACACACAUUGCAAGCCAUACUAAGCUGAUAACUGUUAAUAACUUGUACAACAUAUACAACACAUAAGACAAGUAAAAGCAAUUUGUUGAGUCAUGGUCUUUCAAAGCAAGCUGCAUUACUACUCUAAUCUAUCUUAACAGGUCACACAUGGUUACAAUCCUUUUUGUGUGCAAGUCAAGCUUAUCUAGUUUACACGUAACGACUUGUAGAACAUUACAGAAUUGAUGUUUGCUAAUAACUUCUAGAACACUACAACACUUUACAUGUAAAAGGAAUUUGAUGAGUCAUGACCUACUAAAGAAAGUUACAUUAUACUAGUCUCAUCUAUCUUAACAGGUCACACAAGAUUACAAACUAAGUUCUGUGCAAGCAAUGCUUAUCUAGUUUACACGUAACAAAUUGCAUAAUAUUACAAACUUACUUUUAGAAAAUUAGGCAAUCUACAUUAGUGUUUGAGCUGUAAAGUGAAUAAGAUGAGUCAUGUGUGUUAUCACAACUUUUUGGUGGUGGAAUGAUAGUGCCACCAAACACAACAUACUAAAUUAUGAUUUCGGGAAGCAUCCAAGCAGCCAGUUCUCCUACCAGCAGCCCCAUAACCAAUAUCCAUCAGGCCAAGGCUCCUUCCAGCCAUCUCAGCAAAACCCACAGGCCUAGGGCUCUGUCCAGCCUCAACAACUGCCCCAGUUCGAGGAAAUAAGGAACCUAGCGCUGCAGACUCUACCAACAAUGUGCAAUGUCUACAUCCCUCCAUAUUGCUCGGCCACCAUUGCGCCAUUUGGCAUCGUCGGUAGUAACUGAGAAGAGAAGAACUUUAGUACUAGAUAUAUGAAACGCCAUUUUCUUAGACAAUGGUUUGGUCGUUGUAACCAUGAAAAAAUAAAGUGACAUGCACAUGUCAUGUAAGAACCCGAACUAUACUAGUUCAAACUUGGGAAUAAAAGACAAACACAGGUCUUGUUUGCAUAUGAUUGUCUGUUUGAGUUCCAUUCAUGUGCCCGUUCACAAGUUCACCCCUAAUUAUAUAUACUAGUAAAUAUGCCCGUGUGUUGCUACGGGCCAUGCAUUGUCUAAA
Molecule: long non-coding RNA, 26163 nt
Filed under: Triticum aestivum (bread wheat)
Lineage: Eukaryota; Viridiplantae; Streptophyta; Magnoliopsida; Poales; Poaceae
Description: long non-coding RNA (TAES_LNC011233)
Rfam family: MIR1120/MIR1122 microRNA precursor family (bases 22241-22375)
Source: RNAcentral